This 358-nucleotide ribosomal RNA is filed under the name uncultured bacterium. RNAcentral describes it as "bacterial SSU rRNA". It matches the Rfam family "Bacterial small subunit ribosomal RNA", at positions 29 to 416 of the family's 1533-position model. The record is from RNAcentral.
AACGAACGCUGGCGGCAUGCCUAACACAUGCAAGUCGAACGAGACCUUCGGGUCUAGUGGCGCACGGGUGCGUAACGCGUGGGAAUCUGCCUUUGCUUCGGAAUAACAGUUAGAAAUGACUGCUAAUACCGGAUGAUGUCUUCGGACCAAAGAUUUAUCGGCAAAGGAUGAGCCCGCGUAGGAUUAGGUAGUUGGUGGGGUAAAGGCCUACAAGCCGACGAUCCUUAGCUGGUCUGAGAGGAUGAUCAGCCACACUGGGACUGAGACACGGCCCAGACUCCUACGGGAGGCAGCAGUGGGGAAUAUUGGACAAUGGGCGCAAGCCUGAUCCAGCAAUGCCGCGUGAGUGAUGAUGGCC